GACGAACGCUGGCGGCGUGCUUAACACAUGCAAGUCGAACGGAAAGGCCCUGCUUUUGUGGGGUGCUCGAGUGGCGAACGGGUGAGUAACACGUGAGUAACCUGCCCUUGACUUUGGGAUAACUUCAGGAAACUGGGGCUAAUACCGGAUAGGAGCUCCUGCUGCAUGGUGGGGGUUGGAAAGGUUCGGCGGUUGGGGAUGGGCUCGCGGCUUAUCAGCUUGUUGGUGGGGUAGUGGCUUACCAAGGCUUUGACGGGUAGCCGGCCUGAGAGGGUGACCGGACCCCUUGGGACUGAGAUACGGCCCAGACUCCUACGGGAGGCAGCAGUGGGGAAUAUUGCACAAUGGGCGGAAGCCUGAUGCAGCAACGCCGCGUGCGGGAUGACGGCCUUCGGGUUGUAAACCGCUUUCGCCUGUGACGAAGCGUGAGUGACGGUAAUGGGUAAAGAAGCACCGGCUAACUACGUG
RNAcentral lists this ribosomal RNA (468 nucleotides) under uncultured bacterium. RNAcentral describes it as "partial 16S ribosomal RNA". It matches the Rfam family "Bacterial small subunit ribosomal RNA", at positions 28 to 507 of the family's 1533-position model. The record is from RNAcentral.